This 6644-nucleotide long non-coding RNA is filed under the name Homo sapiens (human). RNAcentral's name for it is "non-protein coding lnc-HMBOX1-1:1". Lineage: Eukaryota; Metazoa; Chordata; Mammalia; Primates; Hominidae. The record is from RNAcentral.
AGUUUACAGAAAAUUGAAUCGAGGUUUCCUCAUUGAAUCCUAAGACUCAAAGCAGACAACAUGACAGGACACAUAUAACUAACACAGGCUUUAAACAGGUGGAGGCGUGAAUGGAGUACUAUUCACGACAUUCUAAAGCUACUGGAGCACGGGACACGUGUCUGUACGCUCCUCUCACACCCCUUACUCGGCAGCUGCCCCACUCCCGCCGUUGCCGUUGCCCUGAGUCUUCCCCACUGUUCUGCUGUGCCAGUGUGAGCAUCUCCCCGGCACUCAAGUCCAUGUUCUCUCCCUCCCGCUCUUCCUCCUGUCUCUUCCAUGCUCCCUGUUGCACGGGACAUCAUGUGGGCUUGAUGCCGUACACAGUCCCUGACCAUGGCCCCCUACUCUUCUCCAGAAGUGUCACACUAGACAGGAGCUGCUGAGUCACCAACUCACCUUUCCCUAGAAUGUGGGUUUGUUUUUUCUCCCCCAUCACUUGCAGAGGUCUUUUUUCAAUUAUAUGAUCAAGAAUGAGUCUACAAGAAUACCAGCACCAGACAUAGUGCCAAAUGGCCUUUUGUAAGCUGUUUCGUGCCCUUGAGGCUCGCACUUGUGCUGGGUGAGCCCAGGACCGUUAGCCUUUUCUUUUCUAGGUCUGGACACUCCGGGGUUGGUUAGGCUAGCCACUGGGGAGAAUACAGCUCUGGCCUUUUUUCAUAUUUUGCUGCUUCUCUUUGUACAGAUCUUUCCCCCUCCACAUACCAAAAGGAAUCCUAACCUAGUUGAAAUGCUAGUUGCAAUUCAGUUUCAUGAGAAUGCUGAAGUAGGCUGCUGAUUUAAAAUUUUCCUCUUCCCUGAAAAUACACACACCUAGAGAAUUUAGGGAAAGGCUCUUAGGGCUUGGGAAUCUUAUCUUUUCAUUCCCCACAAAAUACCUACAAAGAAAUGUCUAGUAUUCCCUCAGUAUUCCUCCUCGUAUAGGCUCUGAAAGCAACCUCAUUCCCACCCAGCCCUUGCACACCGGCAUUCAAGAUCCAUGCAUGCAGUUGUUGAAACUGUUUUCUUUGGGAUCCUAUCUUUAUGACAACUGGAAUGAUUGUAGAUUUAUGACCUCAAAGAGUAGAGCAUUCCUUUUCCUAUUUUCCCAGCUGCUAAAAUAUGACUGUCUCCAUUAGAAUUUAGAAUCCGUCUUAAGCUUAGAGAUGGUAAGAGCUGACUGGAUGAGUCUAAUUCUAUGAUUUGUGAGACAUGCAUUAAAACCGUCAGCAGAACAUUCUGAUGAUCCACCUACACUCAAAGAAAACACAAUUAACACCACAGUUAAAACCUUCUAAUGGAGCCCCUGUCUUAGGGAUCAAGGUAUUAGAGGUGCUGCUUCAGGGAUGGUGCUACUUCAAAAGAACUGAAGUUGGAGAGACACCUCCCUUCCCAAAUGCUUCUGCAGGCCACUCUGGUGAUUCAGAAAACCCCAACCAUAUAUUCCUUUACCAGCAGCGCCCACCCUUUUCCGUAACUCAGCUUACCAAAAUCAGUGAAAAUUGAGACAGUGCUUACCCAUGAAAUAUGUGGUUUUUGAACAAAAACCCCAGAAGUUAGUUAUUCUUAUAGGAAACUAAAGAUGCCACCAUUGUAAAUCAUAAUACUACAGAGACAAAUGCACAGGUCUCCCAACCACCUCAAAGUCAAUACAGCCCAUGUUUUCUGAGCACGUACUGUGUGCUGGGCACCGUGCUGGACAUGUGUGCUGCCUCAUGACCCGACACCAAGCAAGUCACCUUGCCCUUGGCAAGGCAAGUCUCCCCUCAUUUCUUUCAUUUCAGUAGGACGUUCAUCUUCAAAGAACAGACCACAUAGGAUGGUCUGCCCUCUCUGAACACUAACCUGGUUUGCUUUCUCACGCAGCAGUGCCAGGUAGCCUCCCAGGCGCACUGUGGCAUCGCCCCCGCCUCUGUGAGCUGAACUCCCUCCGUGAGGGUCUGGACGUGAGGGCCCCUCCAGAGUCUUCCUCCCUGGUCAGUGAUGAUGACAGGAGUGCAGGGAGGUGCCGCAGUGGUUGACAGGGUGGGAAGCCUGUGUGGCCGAGGGGAACUUGAACUCCGGCACCCCUUGCCUGCAGUUAGCCAAGGCAGAGACCAGGAAACCCUCUUGCACUUCCCAUCUUCUCUCUCCAGCUCUUGUAGCGCUACCCUGGCCGUUCCUUCGGGGCUCCUGCUGUGUUCAGGAGCAUCUUGCUCAGCUGGCCCCUCCUCCUCUCUAGAAACCGGGGGUCUGGGGUUCUGGAAUUAGAUCAGUGUCUGCUCUGCCUCAGGCCUCCCUGCCUCCUCAUGGGCCCUGACUGCCAAGAAAUAACAGUUGCUGGAGACAUAUCUUGAUUUGGGGUCAGCGUAAGAACUUUCUAGAACCCAGAAUCCAGCAAAGGCAUGAGCUCCUUUGAGGUAGAGGUCUGGUUCCUGUCCUGCCACAUUUCACGUGGAACUGUGGUAACUUGUCAGGGACAUUGAACAAGGGACAUGGGUACCAAGCUGACCUGAGGACUCAGCUAACUAAAGUUCCACAUUUCUUCCCUCCUUCCCUUGUCUACCUCUUUUCCGUCAAACGUAAGUGGUCCUCUAGGGGUUGGCUCUCUCAUGGUCUUUCUCUUCUGAUCUGCUCUGCCCCGUCGUGGGCAUCUUGGAACCACCUCAGAAGCAAGGCCACAGCUGUGGACUGGUCCUCGUGAGAGUCUCCCUGGAUCCUCUGUACCUGUAAUAGGUACACAGUUACGUUAUUAUCCAACCUCCAAUCCCCAAAAAGCCUCCUUAAUUUGAAAGAGAAAAGGUAUAUGUGCCUUGCAUUUUGUUAUCGGUCCAGAUUUUGCAUCUGGUGGUGGCUGGGGUGCCAUUGGGAUUUUGGAAUGGGAGCAGUUUGAUUCCUCCCUCGGAAGGAACUCAUGGCUCUCACAAACCAGUGUCUGUGGCAGUGACAAGUCACAGAAUUUGUGUUUCAAGGCUUAUUCCUUCUUCCCUUUAAGACUUUUUCAACUUCCUGUCACUUCGGGCUGAGUCUCAAUUUCAGUCAUGUUUUGUGGCUUCCUUUGAGCACAGAAACCUCUCCUUUUCUUCCGUUACUGGAACUAAGAUCCCAGCGUAAACUCGUGAGAGUCAUUUUUCCACGUCAUCAUUCGUUGGAGCUAUUAAGCCCGAACACAGAAUGACAUUAGUGUUAUACUAAUGUAAGCAGCAGCCACUCUGGUGAUGUUGCAUUGAACUCUUUUGUUCUUAAACCAGAUUCACGGCGGGCAGGCACAGAGUUAGAAGAGUGGGCUGCAGGAAGACACGUGCUCAGCGGUGGCUGCUUUCAAGCAGCAUUGUUUUUUGCCUUGAAAACCACAUUUCAUUAUGUUAGAAUCGGUGAUCCCCUUAAUACUGCAUCUCUGAAAAUGGGCACCAUGAAACCAAAACCAAAGUUCUGGAUGUGGGGGAGUGGAGCUUUUCUUUCGAAGCACUGGGAGCUUGGGCAGGGCGUCCCGACUGCCCCUCAGUUUUGCCGGAGCACUCGGAAGGGCCUCCUCUUUUCCUAGUAGUUGCCUCAUGGUGACUCUAGAAAGCAAGUGUGUGCAGCCUGUGCCUCCCCGACCCAUGGCGGGCGUCUAGAUCAGGCCCUAGGAGCCUCCCCAUCCCUGCCUCUUCUAGCCACUUCCCGGGGGGCUGUAGAGCACGGUCACAGGAAGGCCUCUGCUGGGCCGAGUCUGCGGUCCCUGAGCCAUCACAGCACUGGCGUCUUCAGACACACCCUGGCUGCAAGGCAGGACACUCCCCCUGCCGAGAGACACCAUGUGCGUCAUCAUUGCCUCCCCUGGAAGAGCCCACAGCCUUCUAUGAUCUCCCCCCCGGGCUCGCCCUGCCUUCCACGGCCAUGGUCACGUUGGGUAUGCAGUACUUUUCAAGGAUAAAUUUUUGUUUAUGUUUUUUAAGUGCCUAAGCAAGAUACAGACCUCUGGAACCUGCCAGAGAGUCGGCCUAUGCCCUGUCCCCAUCCCUCCCCACCCUGCACUGGCCCUUGAGGGUGGGCACAGGGCGGCUGCCCCUCUCCAGUGUCCCUGGCGUUCUGCAGGCAGAACAAGGCAAGGACAAGCUAGCGGGAGAGAUCGCUUCACAGCCAUAUCAGGCUGGCUUCGUCACUGUUUUCCAGCGUUUCUUUCUUUAGGGCCGUUUCUGUUUAUGUGGUUUGGUCUUGGUUCAUAGAGAAUUUAAGAGUCUGCUUAGGGAAAUCUCAGUAGCCACUAAGAAGACAGGAGAGCAAGACAGCCUCAGAGCAGCAUUCCAGCUCUGGCUUUGGUAGGAGUUGGAAAUGUGUCCACAUCCAAGAGGGCGAAGCGUCGAAUCAUCCUAGCUCAUGAGCCUGCUGACUCACCUGCCAGCGUGAGCCACCGGAGCCCCAGCUGCCUUUCCGAGCCCUCUCUGCCUAGACUAGAGGGAUCAGGGUGUCUGCUCGGGAGGGCUUGGGAAAGCCAGCAAUCAGGCGUUCAGAUCCCAAGUGUGUCUUUGGAAAUGAGUGUGAGAGUAUUUGUUUCUUUUUUAAAAAAUAAUUUAAGUCUGACCUAAAUACGGGGCCUUUAUUCUGUGAUGGGUGUACGACAGAUUAUUUUGUGACUGCAGUCUGUUCAAAUCACAUCACUAAGCAGCGCUGAGAUGAUUUGUUGGUGCAUUAAAAGGUUUUGCAUCAUGGAACAAUCCAUACCCAGGCACUUUAUUUUCAUUAAUAAUCCAGCAUUUUUGUUCAGACAAUGUAAUAACCCAAACACUGGGUAUUCAUAUUUGACACAUGGGCAAACUUGCCAGUGGAAUGGAAUUGUGACCUGACAGAGAAGGGAAGGCAGGCUGACGAAGGUGAUCGAAUGGGAGAACAGUGCUGUGGUGAUCAUGAGAAUGAGGCUUUUCUGUAGCAUGUAAACCAAACCGGACCCUUGGCAGUUCGUCGUCCCUCAGUUCUCCAGAUGCUAUUUUUUGCAGGUUCUACCAAGUGCUUGUUGAUUACCCUAGUUGUAAUUAUCUAGGGAAGAGAUGAAUGUAAGUGAGAGUGCAGAGCACUGGGGAGGGUGACAGUGAAAUGCAAUUAGAGGCAGCAAGAGAGUCCUAGUCUGUUCUCACAUAACCGGACUUGAACGCUCCAGUGCGAGCAGAGUGCUGGGGGUGGAUUCCACUGCCGAACCACGGCAGCUUUGCUUUACUCUUCAGCAUGGGGGUGGUAACUAGCUGCACAGCAAGUUAUGAAAUGGAAAGCAAGCUUAACAGCUGUAAUCUCAUCGGAUACCCUGGAGCAAAUGCCUUGGGAUUGCCUGAAGUGAAGUGUUUAGCAUCCACCAAAUAGUUGAGUUUCUAAGAUGGGCCAUGCGGGAUCCCUGCCACACGGGUGUGGGGGCAGCGCGCUCCUCCCUGCCUCGGCUGCUGUGUGUGUUAGUCUUCAUGUUUCCCCUUGGCGUCUCCUCUGGUCCCUGUCCAUCUUGUGCACCAUGUGUCCCUGAGGGCGAGUCACACCUGUGUCUUGAGUCUGCUGUAAGGUGUUCAGUCUACCUCAAGGGGUCAUCAUGGUAAGCUCUAUCCCACGGCAUCCUCCGUCCAUCACCACACACACUGGAAUGUAUCCCCCCCGCCCUGCCCCUUCGAUAACCUCCUGACCUUGUCUUUCCUAUAAUCACCACAAACUCCUAGUGCAAAUUGGAUGCUGCUUUAAAUGUGAAAACAAUUGUUCAAAAGCUAUAAAACCUGAAUGAAAGCUGAAGCUGAAUUUAUAAGCCUUGUUGCAUAUGAGCCAAAAGUGCAAAAAGCUCUAUAUAAUGAACUAACCUGCCACUCGUAUAAAUAUAAAUAUAUAUAAAUAUAUUAAAAUCAGACUGUUCUACAAAAUUGUGUAUUUGUAUUUUUGUGUACGUACAAUUUUCUGCUAAGCAGAAGGAGGAUGUAGUAUAGGAUGCUGUGAGAAGAGAUUUGGUUUAAUCCUAUUUCUUUGUUACUUAUUUUUGUUAACAUCAGAUGCCUGUCUUUGUCUUAUAUGUGUAUGACACUGUUUGGAAAGCUGCAGUAUCUCUCUUCCUGAGGUCCAGAGGCCAUUAAAGAAUAAACAUGGGGCUUAGAGGUGUCUUGGCCACCAAACACAGCCCCAGUUACCUGGAGCUUCUCAGAACCCACUUUGCCGGUGCUAAAACACAAGAGGGGGUGAAAGUGGCUGCCAGUAAUGGCCAGAAACCAACCACCAGAGGCCAGGCUGAAAGACAAGCUCCGGGUGUCCAGGGGCUGACGGGCCAACCAUGUGGCAGGUCCCAGGCCCCACCCACUGCGCCAUCCGCCUCUGAGCUCCACAGUGGUCCCACUAAUGGGAACCUCCUCUAGGGAGAGUGAUACUGCACCUUCACCCGUAGGACUCAUAUUUAUAACAAUGUGUAAUGGCUGUAGCAAAAAGCCCUUGUUUCUAGAUGUAAAUGGUCAAAGAAACAAGCGCUCUAUUGUUUUGAAUAAAAUAGUUCAAAUGAGUCCUGUAUCAUUGUAUCUCCUAUUCUGGAUUAGUGCCUUUUGGACAGUAGACUGUUCUGUAAUUAAAAUGUAGUAUACUGCUUUUUUGUACAGUUUUGUUUUAAUAAAACUUUUUUUUAAUUUGUGUUUAUUUUAGUAUUGUACCUAUUAGAG